Non-coding RNA from Pelobates cultripes (western spadefoot toad), 917 nucleotides. NCBI's taxonomy places the organism in Eukaryota, Metazoa, Chordata, Amphibia, Anura, Pelobatidae. The record is from the annotation of a GenBank genome assembly.
UGCCAUUUGUCACAUUAACUUUUUUUUUUUUUUUUGCUGUAGAGCUUAUUUCUCUCGUCAGAUUAUUUAUUAAACAAUUCUUAUAUAGCACCUUUAUCCAUCGCUUAACAUAGACUAGCAUUCAUCAAUAAUUAAGUAAUAAUAACUACAACCACUGUAUAGGACAUUUAGGUUACAUGAUUAUAAAUUGAGGUUACAUGAUUAUAAAUUAGAGACCAAUUAUAGUGGAUUGAGGCUCAUGAAGAACAACAUUGUAUUCAACAAGAGAAUAGUAUGUAGUUAUAGUCAUAUUCAGUUGCAUGGAUUUACAGCUACGGGAGGCAGUAGUCAUGACUAUGGUGGUUGCACAGGUGGGGAGCAAGUGUUAUUGUUAAGGAACAGGUUAAUCAAUAUUUCAAAACAAUUCUUGAUUCAGGGCUAUUCACAAAAGUGGAUUUCAUAGUGAAUAAAAAGUAAAUUUCAAGUUUAAGACCAAAGUAGAGCCGAAGUUCAGCUAUGUUAGCCUUAAAUUUGAAACUCACUUUGAAUUUUAACUUUAGUGAGUAGCCCUGAUUGAGUUACAGAUGGUGUAUUAAGAAUCCGUCAAAUGUAUGAUUGUAGUUUUGUUUUUAUUUUUAAAACGGUUAGUUCACUAAAUUAAUAACUGUGUACAACUGAGAAGGGAAUUGAUUUUUUUUCUUGUUGUGACACAAGUAAAGGAAAAAUGUUGAGUGUAUUGAGUUGACAAAAAAAGUUACUACCGUGUUUCUCCGAAAAUAAGACCGGGUCUUAUAUUAAUUUUAGUCACAAAAAACACACUAGGGCUUAUUUUCAGGGUAGGGCUUAUUUAUUUACGUUACCAGUAUGUACAGCUCUUUCUCUUUGCACUCAUCUUGUCUGGGGAUCAAAAUACCAUACUGUCUAAUUAAUCCACCCCC